RNAcentral lists this ribosomal RNA (253 nucleotides) under uncultured bacterium. Its description in RNAcentral is "partial 16S ribosomal RNA". It matches the Rfam family "Bacterial small subunit ribosomal RNA", at positions 524 to 776 of the family's 1533-position model. The record is from RNAcentral.
UACGUAGGGUCCGAGCGUUAAUCGGAAUUACUGGGCGUAAAGCGUGCGCAGGCGGUUUUGUAAGCCAGAUGUGAAAGCCCCGGGCUCAACCUGGGAACUGCAUUUGGGACUGCAAAGCUGGAGUACGGCAGAGGGAGGUGGAAUUCCACGUGUAGCAGUGAAAUGCGUAGAGAUGUGGAGGAACACCGAUGGCGAAGGCAGCCUCCUGGGCUAGUACUGACGCUCAUGCACGAAAGCGUGGGGAGCAAACAGG